AUUGAGCCUUGAUGUGUAGGAUAGGUGGGAGGCUUUGAAGUGUGGACGCCAGUCUGCAUGGAGCCGGCCUUGAAAUACCACCCUUUAAUGUUUGAUGUUCUAACGUGGACCCGUGAUCCGGGUUGCGGACAGUGUCUGGUGGGUAGUUUGACUGGGGCGGUCUCCUCCUAAAGAGUAACGGAGGAGCACGAAGGUUGGCUAAUCCUGGUCGGACAUCAGGAGGUUAGUGCAAUGGCAUAAGCCAGCUUGACUGCGAGCGUGACGGCGCGAGCAGGUGCGAAAGCAGGUCAUAGUGAUCCGGUGGUUCUGAAUGGAAGGGCCAUCGCUCAACGGAUAAAAGGUACUCCGGGGAUAACAGGCUGAUACCGCCCAAGAGUUCAUAUCGACGGCGGUGUUUGGCACCUCGAUGUCGGCUCAUCACAUCCUGGGGCUGAAGUAGGUCCCAAGGGUAUGGCUGUUCGCCAUUUAAAGUGGUACGCGAGCUGGGUUUAGAACGUCGUGAGACAGUUCGGUCCCUAUCUGCCGUGGGCGCUGGAGAACUGAGGGGGGCUGCUCCUAGUACGAGAGGACCGGAGUGGACGCAUCACUGGUGUUCGGGUUGUCAUGCCAAUGGCACUGCCCGGUAGCUAAAUGCGGAAGAGAUAAGUGCUGAAAGCAUCUAAGCACGAAACUUGCCCCGA
This 680-nucleotide ribosomal RNA is filed under the name Salmonella enterica. RNAcentral's name for it is "partial 23S ribosomal RNA". It matches the Rfam family "Bacterial large subunit ribosomal RNA", at positions 2123 to 2802 of the family's 2925-position model. Lineage: Bacteria; Pseudomonadati; Pseudomonadota; Gammaproteobacteria; Enterobacterales; Enterobacteriaceae. The record is from RNAcentral.